RNAcentral lists this ribosomal RNA (397 nucleotides) under uncultured bacterium. RNAcentral describes it as "bacterial SSU rRNA". It matches the Rfam family "Bacterial small subunit ribosomal RNA", at positions 29 to 430 of the family's 1533-position model. The record is from RNAcentral.
AUUGAACGCUGGCGGCAUGCUUUACACAUGCAAGUCGAACGGCAGCACGGGGGCAACCCUGGUGGCGAGUGGCGAACGGGUGAGUAACACAUCGGAACGUGUCCAGUUGUGGGGGAUAACCCAUCGAAAGGUGGGCUAAUACCGCAUGAGCUGGCAACAGGAAAGCGGGGACCCGCAAGGGCCUUGUGCGAUUGGAGCGGCCGAUGUCCGAUUAGCUAGUUGGUGGGGUAAAGGCCUACCAAGGCUUCGAUCGGUAGCUGGUCUGAGAGGAUGAUCAGCCACACUGGGACUGAGACACGGCCCAGACUCCUACGGGAGGCAGCAGUGGGGAAUUUUGGACAAUGGGGGCAACCCUGAUCCAGCCAUGCCGCGUGAGUGAAGAAGGCCUGGUGUAAGU